CGUCGGGCCCCGUACAACGGGACAUCGGCGAACCCGGUCAGGUCCGAGAGGAAGCAGCCGUAGUCGAGCGUUUCCGUGUGUUGCGGUCCUGUCCGGCGGCG
RNAcentral lists this signal recognition particle RNA (101 nucleotides) under Candidatus Hydrogenedentota bacterium. RNAcentral describes it as "signal recognition particle sRNA small type". It matches the Rfam family "Bacterial small signal recognition particle RNA". From Rfam's summary of the family: The signal recognition particle (SRP) is a universally conserved ribonucleoprotein involved in the co-translational targeting of proteins to membranes. Archaeal SRP consists of a 7S RNA and homologues of the eukaryotic SRP19 and SRP54 proteins. Lineage: Bacteria; Pseudomonadati; Candidatus Hydrogenedentota. The record is from RNAcentral.